CACGGGUGAGUAACACGUAUGCAAUCCACCUGUAACAGGGGGAGUAACCCGGAGAAAUCCGGACUAAUACCCCAUAAUAUGGGCGCUCCGCAUGGAGAGUUCAUUAAAGAGAGCAAUUUUGGUUACAGACGAGCAUGCGCUCCAUUAGCCAGUUGGCGGGGUAACGGCCCACCAAGGCGACGAUGGAUAGGGGUUCUGAGAGGAAGGUCCCCCACAUUGGAACUGAGACACGGUCCAA
RNAcentral lists this ribosomal RNA (238 nucleotides) under uncultured bacterium. Its description in RNAcentral is "partial 16S ribosomal RNA". It matches the Rfam family "Bacterial small subunit ribosomal RNA", at positions 102 to 334 of the family's 1533-position model. The record is from RNAcentral.